GCCCCGCUAGCUCAAUCGGAAGAGCAGCCGGCUUUUAACCGGCGGGUACGGAGAUCGAAACUCCGGCGGGGCA
Molecule: transfer RNA, 73 nt
Filed under: Mycobacterium phage Cheetobro
Lineage: Duplodnaviria; Heunggongvirae; Uroviricota; Caudoviricetes
Also listed under: 4 other names
Rfam family: tRNA
About the family: Transfer RNA (tRNA) molecules are approximately 80 nucleotides in length. Their secondary structure includes four short double-helical elements and three loops (D, anti-codon, and T loops).
Source: Rfam by way of RNAcentral